GAUGAACGCUGGCGGCGUGCCUAAUACAUGCAAGUCGAGCGAACAGAUGAGGAGCUUGCUCCUCUGACGUUAGCGGCGGACGGGUGAGUAACACGUGGAUAACCUACCUAUAAGACUGGGAUAACUUCGGGAAACCGGAGCUAAUACCGGAUAAUAUAUUGAACCGCAUGGUUCAAUAGUGAAAGACGGUUUUGCUGUCACUUAUAGAUGGAUCCGCGCCGCAUUAGCUAGUUGGUAAGGUAACGGCUUACCAAGGCAACGAUGCGUAGCCGACCUGAGAGGGAGAUCGGCCACACUGGAACUGAGACACGGUCCAGACUCCUACGGGAGGCAGCAGUAGGGAAUCUUCCGCAAUGGGCGAAAGCCUGACGGAGCAACGCCGCGUGAGUGAUGAAGGACUUCGGAUCGUAAAACGCUGUUAUUAGGGAAGAACAAAUGUGUAAGUAACUAUGCACGUCUUGACGGUACCUAAUCAGAAAGCCACGGCUAACUACGUG
RNAcentral lists this ribosomal RNA (497 nucleotides) under uncultured bacterium. RNAcentral's name for it is "partial 16S ribosomal RNA". It matches the Rfam family "Bacterial small subunit ribosomal RNA", at positions 28 to 507 of the family's 1533-position model. The record is from RNAcentral.